Molecule: long non-coding RNA, 731 nt
Filed under: Rattus norvegicus (Norway rat)
Lineage: Eukaryota; Metazoa; Chordata; Mammalia; Rodentia; Muridae
Description: long non-coding RNA NONRATT007254
Source: RNAcentral
CUUGAGAGGUCUCCUCACCCGUAGUAACCCUGCCGGGUUACUGCUACUAUCUCACCCGUGUUCUGUGAUAACUCAUCUCAACCCGGGAUGUCAAAAUGGCCUUAACAAAUGCUGACCCUGAGAGUUUUCCUGCAGGAAUUUAAAGAGAGAGAGGUGUGGGGCCCGCAGCGGACUCCUCCGGGGGACGCGGAAUCCAGGUCAGAUCAUCACCUGUAGGGUGACCAUACCUAAGCUGCCCUCUCCCCGUGCUAAUGUCCUAAGAUGAGGAACCAAAUCUAGUCAGAGAAAGCUCAGACAAGGGUGCAGAAUAUGUAAGUGAUACCCUUGGGAUGUCGGUCCUAGGAUUUGCAGCCGACAUGGGGAAAAGUGGACUCUGGGGAGGGGUGCGGGGGAGAGACCGUAGGAGACCUUUCUGUCCUUUUCCCUUGGGCUCGAGGCCCUGAUCCAAUCCCCACGCCCUCACUAGAAUGUAUCCACGUCAGCAGGACUGAAUAACUACUUCAUUAAACAAACACUGUACUCAUUGGGGCCCUGGGGGUACUGCCAUUCCUGUGUGGUAUUUUAAUAUUAUAAUGUAUUGCAUCUUUAAUGUAUUAAAUUCAUUUUUUUUGUUGUACUAUACCGGUUGGCAUUUUAUUAAAAUAAAUUGUAUUGUACCAUAUUUGUAUGUUUUAAGAGAAAAUAAUAUAAAAUACAAUACUUGUGCUAUUAUAUAGCGCAAAACCUACAAA